Molecule: ribosomal RNA, 399 nt
Filed under: uncultured bacterium
Lineage: Bacteria
Description: bacterial SSU rRNA
Rfam family: Bacterial small subunit ribosomal RNA
Source: RNAcentral
CAGGUCUUGACAUCCCUUGACAACUCCAGAGAUGGAGCGUUCCCUUCGGGGACAAGGUGACAGGUGGUGCAUGGUUGUCGUCAGCUCGUGUCGUGAGAUGUUGGGUUAAGUCCCGCAACGAGCGCAACCCUUAUUACUAGUUGCCAGCAUUCAGUUGGGCACUCUAGUGAGACUGCCGGUGACAAACCGGAGGAAGGUGGGGAUGACGUCAAAUCAUCAUGCCCCUUAUGACCUGGGCUACACACGUGCUACAAUGGCGUAUACAACGAGUUGCCAACCCGCGAGGGUGAGCUAAUCUCUUAAAGUACGUCUCAGUUCGGAUUGUAGGCUGCAACUCGCCUACAUGAAGUCGGAAUCGCUAGUAAUCGCGGAUCAGCACGCCGCGGUGAAUACGUUCCC